RNAcentral lists this ribosomal RNA (200 nucleotides) under uncultured bacterium. RNAcentral's name for it is "partial 16S ribosomal RNA". It matches the Rfam family "Bacterial small subunit ribosomal RNA", at positions 29 to 256 of the family's 1533-position model. The record is from RNAcentral.
AACGAACGCUGGCGGCAUGCCUAACACAUGCAAGUCGAACGAGACCUUCGGGUCUAGUGGCGCACGGGUGCGUAACGCGUGGGAACCUGCCUUUAGAUUCGGAAUAACUCAGAGAAAUUUGAGCUAAUACCGGAUGAUGUCUUCGGACCAAAGAUUUAUCGCCUUUAGAUGGGCCCGCGUUGGAUUAGCUUGUUGGUGAG